RNAcentral lists this ribosomal RNA (839 nucleotides) under uncultured Neisseria sp. RNAcentral's name for it is "bacterial SSU rRNA". It matches the Rfam family "Bacterial small subunit ribosomal RNA", at positions 28 to 858 of the family's 1533-position model. Lineage: Bacteria; Pseudomonadati; Pseudomonadota; Betaproteobacteria; Neisseriales; Neisseriaceae. The record is from RNAcentral.
AUUGAACGCUGGCGGCAUGUUACACAUGCAAGUCGGACGGCAGCACAGAGAAGCUUGCUUCUUGGGUGGCGAGUGGCGAACGGGUGAGUAACAUAUCGGAACGUACCGAGCAGUGGGGGAUAACUAAUCGAAAGAUUAGCUAAUACCGCAUAUUUUCUGAGGAAGAAAGCAGGGGACCAUCUGGCCUUGCGCUGUUUGAGCGGCCGAUAUCUGAUUAGCUAGUUGGUGGGGUAAAGGCCUACCAAGGCGACGAUCAGUAGCGGGUCUGAGAGGAUGAUCCGCCACACUGGGACUGAGACACGGCCCAGACUCCUACGGGAGGCAGCAGUGGGGAAUUUUGGACAAUGGGCGCAAGCCUGAUCCAGCCAUGCCGCGUGUCUGAAGAAGGCCUUCGGGUUGUAAAGGACUUUUGUCAGGGAAGAAAAGGGCGGGGUUAAUACCCCUGUCUGAUGACGGUACCUGAAGAAUAAGCACCGGCUAACUACGUGCCAGCAGCCGCGGUAAUACGUAGGGUGCGAGCGUUAAUCAGAAUUACUGGGCGUAAAGCGGGCGCAGACGGUUACUUAAGCAGGAUGUGAAAUCCCCGGGCUCAACCUGGGAACUGCGUUCUGAACUGGGUGACUAGAGUGUAUCAGAGGGAGGUAGUAUUCCACGUGUAGCAGUGAAAUGCGUAGAGAUGUGGAGGAAUACCGAUGGCGAAGGCAGCCUCCUGGGAUAACACUGACGUUCAUGCCCGAAAGCGUGGGUAGCAAACAGGAUUAGAUACCCUGGUAGUCCACGCCCUAAACGAUGUCGAUUAGCUGUUGGGCAGCAUGACUGCUUAGUAGCGAAGCUAACGC